Non-coding RNA from Podarcis muralis (Common wall lizard), 605 nucleotides. The record is from RefSeq and is a predicted model, not a curated record. NCBI's taxonomy places the organism in Eukaryota, Metazoa, Chordata, Lepidosauria, Squamata, Lacertidae.
GGGGCAGCUUUGCCGUUGGAAGCUGAAAAGGGAAAAAUUCUACUGAGCAAUGGUGGAUGCAAUGCCUCAACAGACAAGUUUCGGGCUUCCCUAAGACUCAACUUCUGCAAUCAAAAUCAGAAUAGGCCCUCAGAUAAUUCCCCUUGCAAAGUGUGCCCUAUGCAAUGGCAGCUCCACAGGGACAAGUGCUACUGGCCAUCAGAAAUUAUUAAAAGCUGGAAUGAGAGCCAACAUGACUGUUCAACAAGGGAUUCUCAACUGCUGGUCAUCCAAGACAAGGAGGAGAUGGAUUUCAUAAAAAACAUUACAAAAAAUGCAAUACACUGGAUUGGGCUCUCACUAUUAAAAUUGGAGAAGAAAUGGAUGUGGAUUACAGGCUCCCAGCUUGAUCAGAGUCUAUUUCCAGAACCAAACUAUGCUGAAGGAAACUCUUGUGCUACAAUAAAAUAUAAAGUCACCUCUGAACCUUGCAGUGCUAUAUAUCGGUGGAUUUGCCAGAAAGACCCUCUCCUACUCUGAUAUUUUAGUUUGAUAAAUGCAAUAAUUAUGUGGGUUUUUGUUAUUUGCCAGGAACACACAAUAAAAAUGUCAUUGAGUGGCUGAGA